RNAcentral lists this ribosomal RNA (492 nucleotides) under uncultured bacterium. RNAcentral describes it as "partial 16S ribosomal RNA". It matches the Rfam family "Bacterial small subunit ribosomal RNA", at positions 29 to 507 of the family's 1533-position model. The record is from RNAcentral.
AGUGAACGCUGGCGGUAGGCCUAACACAUGCAAGUCGAACGGCAGCACAGUAAGAGCUUGCUCUUACGGGUGGCGAGUGGCGGACGGGUGAGGAAUACAUCGGAAUCUACUUUCUCGUGGGGGAUAACGUAGGGAAACUUACGCUAAUACCGCAUACGACCUACGGGUGAAGGCAGGGGAUCUUCGGACCUUGCGCGAUUGAAUGAGCCGAUGUCGGAUUAGCUAGUUGGCGGGGUAAAGGCCCACCAAGGCGACGAUCCGUAGCUGGUCUGAGAGGAUGAUCAGCCACACUGGAACUGAGACACGGUCCAGACUCCUACGGGAGGCAGCAGUGGGGAAUAUUGGACAAUGGGCGCAAGCCUGAUCCAGCCAUACCGCGUGGGUGAAGAAGGCCUUCGGGUUGUAAAGCCCUUUUGUUGGGAAAGAAAAGCAGCAGGUUAAUACCCCGCUGUUCUGACGGUACCCAAAGAAUAAGCACCGGCUAACUUCGUG